GCUUGACUGUGAGGCUGACGGGCCGAACAGGUACGAAAGUAGGUCCUAGUGAUCCUCGAUACCUUCGUGGGAGGGUACGAGCUUAACGGAUAAAAGCUACCCCGGGGAUAACAGAGUAGUCGCGCCCGAGAGUCCAUAUCGACGGCGCGGUUCGCUACCUCGAUGUCGGCUCAACGCAUCCUGGGGGAGGAGCAUCUCCCAAGGGUUGGUCUGUUCGCCCAUUAAAGCGUUACGCGAGCUGGGUUCAGAACGUCGUGAGACAGUUCGGACUCUAUCCGGUGCAAGCGAGGGAUUUUUGAGGGGAGUUGACCUCAGUACGAGAGGACCAGGUUGAAGGAACCCCUAGUGUACCAGUUGUUACGUCAGUAGCAUCGCUGGGUAGCUACGUUCCUACGGGAUAACCGCUGAAAGCAUCUAAGCGGGAAGCCCACCCCAAGAUGAGAAAUCCACAAACUUGUGCUAUGCACAAGUAGACCCGUUGGAGAAUACAACGUUGAUAGGCAAGUGGUGUAAGGCCCGAGAGGGCUUCAGCCUACUUGUACUAAUUGGUCGAAGG
Molecule: ribosomal RNA, 556 nt
Filed under: Candidatus Blackburnbacteria bacterium RIFCSPLOWO2_02_FULL_44_9
Lineage: Bacteria; Candidatus Blackburniibacteriota
Description: bacterial LSU rRNA
Rfam family: Bacterial large subunit ribosomal RNA
Source: RNAcentral